This is a long non-coding RNA of Mya arenaria, 783 nucleotides long. RefSeq lists it as uncharacterized. The transcript has 3 exons. The record is from RefSeq and is a predicted model, not a curated record. NCBI's taxonomy places the organism in Eukaryota, Metazoa, Mollusca, Bivalvia, Myida, Myidae.
GGCGGACCAGACAUAAACAAGCUCGAUUCCAAACUUAUUUCAACGAUUUUACAGACACAUGGACUCUGCCUAAAUAAAAAACAAAUGGUAUAACAUCGAUAUCCAUGACAGUGAUGAAUUUAGAGUUGAGUGGUUUUACCAUCCAAAGUCAGAAGAACCAGUGUUGAUAAGUUCUACACAUGUCUGCUACAGCAGGGAAUGGAACCAACACCAGAUCUAAUACUUCACGAGCAGUAAGGAUAUACAUAGCAUUAUCAGAGUGUAGCGGUACUAGCCACUUGAUGACCAAGUUCAUCUGACAGACUCCUGUUUUAGGAAACACCACAAACAGGAACUUAAAAGUUCAUGAGAGGAAUAGAAAAAGUUUCAAAUUGCUGCUCCCAGAGGGCUUAAUUGUCAACGUCCUAUCUUGUAUUGAUAGGGUUAAAUAAAAAAUGAUUAUUGUUAAUUAUUAUAUUAUCCAUCAAAUUUGAUAUCUUAGAUCUUUUUCUUGCAAUUCAAAUUAUCAUACUAAUGGGGAGUGUUAUAUAAAAGAAAUAAUAAAUACCACUUGUCAUGUUGAAACAAUGUUUAGUUUGAUUAUUGUUUUUAAUUGGAAUGUACCAAAAUAGUCAUUUUAUAUUUAAAUUUCACUCUUAAUGAUUUUCUUUGUAAACUAUUCAUUUGACAGUUAAUGGCUGAAUUGGAAAAUAAACAACAGUAUUUGACAUUAAUUAUAUUGACACAGGACUGCAUUUACUGUAAAAAUAGUUUUUACAAAAGAUGUUUGUCAAACAUUAUGCC